RNAcentral lists this unclassified non-coding RNA (240 nucleotides) under soil metagenome. RNAcentral's name for it is "partial contains 5.8S ribosomal RNA, internal transcribed spacer 2, and large subunit ribosomal RNA". The record is from RNAcentral.
AACCUAGCACACCUGCGGUGUGUACCUGCGGAAGGAUCAUUAACAAAUCCAUCAUUCGAUGACCCUACCUUGUGUGCACCUGUAAAAACUGCCCUUUGGAGUAAGGGUUGGUACUGGCUUUCGGUAAGAUAUCGGGCGUGCCAACUUUUGGUACAGGCUUUCGGUAAGAUACCGGGCGUGCCAACUUUUUCCAAAGGGUUUUUUUAUAAACGUCUUUUUGAACAAAUUAAAUUUUUUAAA